This 300-nucleotide unclassified non-coding RNA is filed under the name Hevea brasiliensis (rubber tree). Lineage: Eukaryota; Viridiplantae; Streptophyta; Magnoliopsida; Malpighiales; Euphorbiaceae. The record is from RNAcentral.
GGGAGAACUGUAUCUCUAUUUCCUCUUCUUUUUGUUCUUUCUGUGACAGCUAUAAAAGAUGGUUAUGAGGAUUGGCGAAGACACAGGUCAGAUAGGAAUGAGAAUAAUCGGGAGGCUCUAGUACUUCAAUUCGGCAAGUUUGAGUUAAAAAGAUGGAAGAAUAUUAGGGUUGGUGAGGUUGUGAAAAUCCUUGCUGAUGAGACAAUUCCUUGUGAUAUGGUGUUGUUAGGAACAAGUGAUCCUAGUGGGAUUGCUUAUAUCCAGACAAUGAAUCUAGAUGGUGAAUCAAACUUGAAGACA